GAUGAAGAACGCAGCGAAAUGCGAUAAGUAGUGUGAAUUGCAGAAUUCAGUGAAUCAUCGAAUCUUUGAACGCGCAUUGCGCCCUUUGGUAUUCCUUAGGGCAUGCCUGUUCGAGCGUCAUUUAAACCUUCAAGCUAAGCUUGGUGUUGGGUGACUGUCCGCUUCACGGCGGACUCGCCUCAAAAUUAUUGGCGGCCGGUACAUUGGCUUCGAGCGCAGCAGAAACGCGAACUCGGGCCCGUCGUAUUGGCUCCCAGAAGCUAUCUUCACAAUUUUGACCUCGGAUCAGGUAGGGAUACCCGCUGAACUUAAGCAUAUCAAUAAGCGGAGGA
This 332-nucleotide unclassified non-coding RNA is filed under the name soil metagenome. Its description in RNAcentral is "partial contains 5.8S ribosomal RNA, internal transcribed spacer 2, and large subunit ribosomal RNA". The stretch from base 1 to 120 matches the Rfam family "5.8S ribosomal RNA", at positions 35 to 154 of the family's 154-position model. The record is from RNAcentral.